This 1540-nucleotide ribosomal RNA is filed under the name Klebsiella pneumoniae. Its description in RNAcentral is "bacterial SSU rRNA". It matches the Rfam family "Bacterial small subunit ribosomal RNA". The record is from RNAcentral. Lineage: Bacteria; Pseudomonadati; Pseudomonadota; Gammaproteobacteria; Enterobacterales; Enterobacteriaceae.
AAAUUGAAGAGUUUGAUCAUGGCUCAGAUUGAACGCUGGCGGCAGGCCUAACACAUGCAAGUCGAGCGGUAGCACAGAGAGCUUGCUCUCGGGUGACGAGCGGCGGACGGGUGAGUAAUGUCUGGGAAACUGCCUGAUGGAGGGGGAUAACUACUGGAAACGGUAGCUAAUACCGCAUAACGUCGCAAGACCAAAGUGGGGGACCUUCGGGCCUCAUGCCAUCAGAUGUGCCCAGAUGGGAUUAGCUAGUAGGUGGGGUAAUGGCUCACCUAGGCGACGAUCCCUAGCUGGUCUGAGAGGAUGACCAGCCACACUGGAACUGAGACACGGUCCAGACUCCUACGGGAGGCAGCAGUGGGGAAUAUUGCACAAUGGGCGCAAGCCUGAUGCAGCCAUGCCGCGUGUGUGAAGAAGGCCUUCGGGUUGUAAAGCACUUUCAGCGGGGAGGAAGGCGAUAAGGUUAAUAACCUCAUCGAUUGACGUUACCCGCAGAAGAAGCACCGGCUAACUCCGUGCCAGCAGCCGCGGUAAUACGGAGGGUGCAAGCGUUAAUCGGAAUUACUGGGCGUAAAGCGCACGCAGGCGGUCUGUCAAGUCGGAUGUGAAAUCCCCGGGCUCAACCUGGGAACUGCAUUCGAAACUGGCAGGCUAGAGUCUUGUAGAGGGGGGUAGAAUUCCAGGUGUAGCGGUGAAAUGCGUAGAGAUCUGGAGGAAUACCGGUGGCGAAGGCGGCCCCCUGGACAAAGACUGACGCUCAGGUGCGAAAGCGUGGGGAGCAAACAGGAUUAGAUACCCUGGUAGUCCACGCCGUAAACGAUGUCGAUUUGGAGGUUGUGCCCUUGAGGCGUGGCUUCCGGAGCUAACGCGUUAAAUCGACCGCCUGGGGAGUACGGCCGCAAGGUUAAAACUCAAAUGAAUUGACGGGGGCCCGCACAAGCGGUGGAGCAUGUGGUUUAAUUCGAUGCAACGCGAAGAACCUUACCUGGUCUUGACAUCCACAGAACUUUCCAGAGAUGGAUUGGUGCCUUCGGGAACUGUGAGACAGGUGCUGCAUGGCUGUCGUCAGCUCGUGUUGUGAAAUGUUGGGUUAAGUCCCGCAACGAGCGCAACCCUUAUCCUUUGUUGCCAGCGGUUCGGCCGGGAACUCAAAGGAGACUGCCAGUGAUAAACUGGAGGAAGGUGGGGAUGACGUCAAGUCAUCAUGGCCCUUACGACCAGGGCUACACACGUGCUACAAUGGCAUAUACAAAGAGAAGCGACCUCGCGAGAGCAAGCGGACCUCAUAAAGUAUGUCGUAGUCCGGAUUGGAGUCUGCAACUCGACUCCAUGAAGUCGGAAUCGCUAGUAAUCGUAGAUCAGAAUGCUACGGUGAAUACGUUCCCGGGCCUUGUACACACCGCCCGUCACACCAUGGGAGUGGGUUGCAAAAGAAGUAGGUAGCUUAACCUUCGGGAGGGCGCUUACCACUUUGUGAUUCAUGACUGGGGUGAAGUCGUAACAAGGUAACCGUAGGGGAACCUGCGGUUGGAUCACCUCCUUA